GGGAGGGAGGAGGACAGCCUGGGUGGGAAGUUGCACUUGGCCCAGCUCCCAGAGAGGUGGGUGGCUUUAGGUCAUGCGUUCAUCUGAGACCUAGUACAACCUAGGACCCUGGGGCCCUGUGCCGGUCACUGUGCCUCUUCCAGCCUCGGUAUCCUCUGGAAGGUGAGAAUGAAAAACACCCAAUGACACUCAGACUGGACAGGAGCAGGUACGCAGACAGCAGAUGGCCAGGUGCACAGAGGUGUCGCCUGACUUCCUCACCGGGACGGCAUGGGGUGGGGCUCCUCCUGCAGGCGAAGCCCGCCCGGGACUGGGCUCUGGUGGGUUCUCUCUCUUUUCCUUCAACCAAAGACCUGGCUGGACACCCCCCAUCUGACACUCCGGGGGCUUUCAAGGGGCUUCAGGCAACCCACAUGCAUUCUGGGCAUCCCAUUUAGGGGGAUGAAGAAGGAAUUGGAUAAGGCAAGGGUGGGGCUGGCCCGUCUCCUCUGCUGGUGCAUCAGCCCCUCCUAGGGACACCACUGUCCUUGACCCCUCUGCAGGCCAAUCAGCCCUCCUUGGGAAGCCGCCGUCCUUGCCCGCUCUGCUCCUGGGGUCCCACCCAAGCUUCAAUCCUCGCUGUGUGGUCUUCCCUCCGUGAGCCUUCAUUUCCUCAUCGCCCUGGGAGGCAGAUGCUGCCAUGAAACCACGGUGCCCUCAAGAAACCUGGCCAUGAGGGGGCUUCCUGCCUGCCCACGGCCCUGCAGGUCAUGGACCCUUCCAUGGAGGUCUGACAGCCCUGGCCCAGGCAGAACACGGCCUCAGCGUGCUCCUGUGGACCCUGGUGGGAGCCCCAGGAGCCGCGGUGAUGGGGUGAGUCGGGCCAACUUCUUGGCUGUUGCCUGUGGCCCAUCAACGCCUGCGGGUGGACGCCCUUCAGGGCCAGAGCAGGCGCCUCAGCGUGCAGACACUGUCUGGCUCUCUUUCUGCGUUUUCUUCAUCUGGAUUCUGUUGGGACAACAAUCAAGGCUGUCUCGUUCUGUCUGUGGAAUGGGCCUCACCUAGCAAGAAGCCCCAGGGGCCCCCAGGGCUGGGUUACCGGCAGAGAGAAGCCACUGCGACCUUUGCCCUCCCUAAAUCCAGAGGUAUUUGGCCCAGAAGCUCCUCCCUGAGUCCUUGCUGGAGCAUUUGUCUUCAAACGGAGGAGGAGAACCAAUGGAGUCUCAUUCUGCGGCUCACUGCAACCUCCACCUCCCGGAUUCAAGCGAUUCUCCUGCCUCAGCCUCCCAAGUAGCUGAGAUUACAGGCAUGCGCCACCAUGCCUGGCAAAUUUUUGUGUUUUUAGUAGAGACGGGGUUUCACCAUGUUGGCCAGGAUGGUCUCAAUCUCUUGACCUCGUGAUCCGCCCGCUUUGGCCUCCCAAAGUGCUGGGAUUACAGGUGUGAGCCACUGUACCCGGCCUCAGGUAGUAUCUUUAUAGCAGUGUGAGAAUGGGUUAAUACAAUGUGCAGGGCCUUAAGCUGUGGCUGACUGGUAGAAGCAGCUCAAUAAAUGGUGGAUGGAUGGAUGGAUGGAUGGAUGGAUGGAUGGAUUCACUAAUUACUGACUCACUUGUUGGGUGUGGUAGAGCAUCAGAUCACAGACCUUAGAGCCUGGCUUCCAAGGUUUGAAUCUGUGAUAUACUGACUCCAUAAUAUUAAGUGAUUUAUGUAAUGUUCCCAUGCCUCAGUUUCCUCAUCUGUAAAAUAAAGUCCAAAGAUUUCUGUUCUUUUUCAAUAUGGCCAGUUAAGAACCUGCACAAACCCUCCCACUAACAGCAGCUAGAAAUUCUGGGUAGAAUGAAAAAUGCCUGUCUUGUUGAUUAUUGUCUUGAGCUGACUAGGAAGUGUGGAGUACUCAGGCCAGGAUAGAGAAAAGAUGGGACCCAGAGAGGAAGGUGGACACUGAAUCUGGCUUUCCUGGGAGGUAUGGAAAGAUGUGGCCACUGCUCCAUCUCUGAAACAAAAAGCUGAACUUAUUGCUUGUUCAGCAUGGGAGAGCUAUAAUUGUAAGGCUCAGACUGCCCGAACAAAGCAAACUGCUGGCCUUCAUAGUGUUUCAGGAAGAGUGGAGUUCAGGCAUAGGAGGCUUUCAGAAGUGGGAGAGCUUGGGGAAUGAUUGAUCUCUAACUGAGGGAGACUAGUUAUUGGAGAGGGGCUACUGCUGGUUGGUUGACCAAAGAAAGUGGUCACUACUAGAUUGAGACGGACUUAAUGCUGGUGUUUGCUUGUUGCUGUGGCCAGACAACAGCCUAUCUUUUCAUUUUGAAGUUGGAGAAUUGAAAUUUUUUAUUCUCAUAGGCAAACCUGAGCAUCAUUUUUUGACUACUUUUGUGGCUAGAGGUCAGAAGACAAAGCACAGAGCCUGGCCAUGCAGGAGAGUCUAGUGGAAGACCAUUCCUUCAAUGUGGGACUCCAUGGGCUACACCUCACUGUCAUGGGAAACUAGAAAAUCUAUUUCCCCUUUGGAUACUACAUCGGCACUGCCUGUAGCAAACUUUGGUGCCAAGUGGAGCAGGAAAAGCAUUCUCUAAGAAUUAAUAACUAUAACCUGAACUACGUGUGUGUGUAUGUAGCCUGAAUCCACAUUUCCUCAACUAUCCAAAACAAGGGAUUUUAGUUUAAAGGAGUGUCAGAUUGGAAGUGCCUCAAUUGUUUGACAGAAGUAAAUACAAUUACUUUCUAAAGGACUCUGCCUUUACCUCAGGCCUCAGAAAAUUUCCAUAAAGUUCCACAGCAAAUGAGCAGUUCAGAGUAAAAAAAAAAUCACUAAAUAUACAAGGAAACAAGACACCAUGAGGGAAAGUCAACAGAAACAACAGGCAGUAGAAUCAGAUCAGCCAAACAUUUAGAUACUAAAAAUAGCAGGACUGGAAAAUAAAUGUGUUUUAUGGAAGAAAUAAGAGGCUUGGAUGUAUUAAUGAAGAACAAGCAUACUUGAAAAAGAACCAAACAUACUCUUAGAAAUAAAAACAUGACAAUCAAAAUGAAAAACUCAAAAGAUAGCUUAACCACAGUUUAGACAUGACCGAAGAAGGAAUUGAUGAACUGAAGGAUAAGGCAAAAGACAUUAGGAGAGUUGCACUCCUGAAAGAUAAAGAACUGGGAAAUAUAAAGAACAUGAGGACUUGCGUGCAAAUGUAAGCAUAUUGCUAAUUGGAUUUCCAGAAAAUGAAGAGAGAUAGAAUAGGAGUAGGGGCAAUAUUUGAAGAGGAUUAUGGCUGAAACUAUUUCAGAUAUAAUGAAAGAUAGCAACCCACAAAUUUAAGAAGCCCAGUGACUCUCAAGCAAGCCAAAGAAAAAGGAUUCCACACGAGUCACAUAAGAAUAAAAAUACAGAACAUUGAAGACCAAGAGAAGUCUUAUAAAAGAGCCCAAGAGAAAAUAUAGAUUAUCUUCAAAGAUAGUUACGCUGAGAACUUACUAUUCAGGAGCAACAAUGGGAAUUAGGAAACAGAGAAAUGAUGUCUUCAAAAUGCUCAGAGCAAAUGAUUACCAACCUAGAAUUCAAUAUCCGGUGAAAAAAAUUAAAGAUGCAAAUGAUUGUCAACCUAGAAUUCAAUAUCCAGUGGAAAAAAUAAAGACACAAAGGAUUACCCACCUAUACAAUUCAAUAUUCAGUGAAAAAAAUAAAGACAAUCAUAGGCAAAUAAAAAUCAAGAAGGUGUCCCACAAACAACCCUUGCUUAAGGAAAUUUUUUGUAAAAUUAAUUUUAUUUUUUAAGACAGGGUCUCACUCUGUUGCCCAGAUGGGAGUGCAGUGGUGCAAUCAUGGCUCACUGCAGCCUUGAACUCUCAGACUUGGGUGAUCCUCCCA
This 3834-nucleotide long non-coding RNA is filed under the name Homo sapiens (human). RNAcentral's name for it is "HSALNT0156425". Lineage: Eukaryota; Metazoa; Chordata; Mammalia; Primates; Hominidae. The record is from RNAcentral.